This 253-nucleotide ribosomal RNA is filed under the name uncultured bacterium. Its description in RNAcentral is "partial 16S ribosomal RNA". It matches the Rfam family "Bacterial small subunit ribosomal RNA", at positions 524 to 776 of the family's 1533-position model. The record is from RNAcentral.
UACAGAGGGGGCAAGCGUUAUUCGGAAUUAUUGGGCGUAAAGGGCGCGUAGGCGGCCUGGCAAGUGGAAGGUGAAAUCCCUCGGCUUAACCGAGGAACUGCCCUCCAAACUGCUUGGCUUGAGUCCGGGAGAGGUGAGUGGAACUGCGAGUGUAGAGGUGAAAUUCGUAGAUAUUCGCAAGAACACCAGUGGCGAAGGCGGCUCACUGGCCCGGUACUGACGCUGAGGUGCGAAAGCGUGGGGAGCGAACAGG